CCUACGGGAGGCUGCAGUGGGGAAUAUUGGACAAUGGGCGAAAGCCUGAUCCAGCCAUGCCGCGUGUGUGAAGAAGGCCUUCGGGUUGUAAAGCACUUUCAGUGGGGAAGAAAGCCUUGGGGCUAAUACCCUCGAGGAAGGACAUCACCCACAGAAGAAGCACCGGCUAACUCCGUGCCAGCAGCCGCGGUAAUACGGAGGGUGCGAGCGUUAAUCGGAAUUACUGGGCGUAAAGCGCGCGUAGGCGGUCUGAUAAGCCGGUUGUGAAAGCCCCGGGCUCAACCUGGGAACGGCAUCCGGAACUGUCAGGCUAGAGUGCAGGAGAGGAAGGUAGAAUUCCCGGUGUAGCGGUGAAAUGCGUAGAGAUCGGGAGGAAUACCAGUGGCGAAGGCGGCCUUCUGAACUGACACUGACGCUGAGGUGCGAAAGCGUGGGUAGCAAACAGGAUUAGAUACCCCGGUAGUC
RNAcentral lists this ribosomal RNA (465 nucleotides) under Vreelandella stevensii. RNAcentral's name for it is "partial 16S ribosomal RNA". It matches the Rfam family "Bacterial small subunit ribosomal RNA", at positions 338 to 795 of the family's 1533-position model. The record is from RNAcentral. Lineage: Bacteria; Pseudomonadati; Pseudomonadota; Gammaproteobacteria; Oceanospirillales; Halomonadaceae.